AGGAUCUGCUUUUCUCUUCAGCAGAGAAGACGAAAGCUGUGUGGUAAGUUCUUUCAAUUUUCUUCUCUUUUCCACUCGAUUUUCUUUCUUGAUGAAUUGAACUCAGCUGAUAUGGUCGAAAUAUUCCAUCUUUUCAAAUAUUUUUUGCGCUUUGAAUUCUUUUUCUUUUUUAGAUGUAUGAUUUCUCAAUUUAAUCUAAUAUGUGAAAUUGUAUGAUUUGAAUUCUGUUUGAGAGAUGGAGAAGUUUCUUAUGAGUAGUUGCUUCUUUUUUUAGUAACCUUCCAACUUAGGUCAUUGGGAAUUCUUACGAACAUCGGAAUUGUGAGAUUGAAGCGAAAGCUUUUGUUGGAAAAUCAUCUUUCCUAACAAUCUGAAGAAGACGAUGUUUUGAAAUGCAAAUUUAUUAUUCCUUACUGAUACUAUCUAGUAGGUAGAACAACAAAUCGAAACCCCAAUUCCUCAUACUGAAAAAGCAUACUAUUAGAUUUCAAAACCUGUUUAAGUUUCAGAGCCAAUCUUCGGAGGUGUUUCCGCCAUUUGAAGAGCGAGACCAGUACUCCUUGACAAGCUGGCCAAACAGCGAUCCCUCCUUCUUUAUCAGCUUCAUUGGCUCAUCAUACUCUACCAAUUUUCCUACAGAAGCAGAAGCGCAAGUUAUUUGAAUCGGUUUUACUCAAUUGAUCCCAACUAGAAUGAAAUGUUCCUUCAUAGAAACUUACCAUCGCUGAUAGCAAGCACCAUUGUGCAGUCCAUCACGGUUGGGAUUCUGUGGGCUACUGUUAUUACAGUGCAGUCUGCAAAUUCUGUCCUUAUCGUCUUCUGGAGAAUGGAGUCGGUUGCAUUGUCUAUGGAUGCAGUGGCUUCAUCAAGCACUAGUAUCCGACUUCUCCUCAGUAGAGCACGUCCCAAACAGAAUAAUUGUCGCUGGCCCAUGCUCCAAUUUGAUCCGUCUUGUACAACUGUAGGGGAGAGAUUGUUAGCAAGAGUUUAUGAGUCCAAAGAAUGGUACCUGUGUGUAUUAUGCUUCAUACCUAAGGAGUCCAGACCCUCUUCUUUCUCUUGAACAGCCCCUCGAAGUUGACAUUUUUCCAGAACCUUUCACACAUUCAUGAGAAACAAUCUUAGUGUAGGAUAUAAAGUAAAUUUACCUUAUUAGGAAUCUGUUCUUUUUCAAGGCACUACCACGACAAACAUUUGGUAUGGAAAGAAAAUUAGGAGGUAUUUAACAGCAUUCUAAAAGAUCUUUGGCUUCCAAAACACAGAAUAUCAGGAGCUAGAUCAAGGGAGUUCAAAAUUUAACAGCGUUUAAUUAGUUUGAUAGUAUAGAAACCACCAUGUCUAUGCACUUAAGAGUGAAGCCUGCUUCAUAUCACUGGCAGAAUCUUUUAGGAAUCUGUAUCAUAUCAUGAUUGAAUCCUAAAAUUAGCAACCACAACAAAUUAAUAGGCAACUCACCUCCCAUAUUUCCUCAUCAGUAUGCAGUGAUAAAGGGUCAAGAUUGUAUCUUACAGCUCCGCUAAAAAGAGUUGGUUCUUGUGGAAUGAUCCCAAGACGUGAUCUGAGAUCAUGAAGCCCAAUUGUGGAAAUAUUUAUGCCAUCUAUAAUUAUCUGUCCCUCUGUAGGCUCUACCAAGCGAAACAAAGUGCUGAUAAGUGUUGUCUUUCCACUACCAGUCCGGCCAACAAUCCCAAUUUUCUGUCCUCCUCCAAUUUUGCAACUAAUUCCUUGAAGAACUAGAGGAGCAUUGGGCCGAUACUUAACCUGCUCAAUGUCAUUUCAUCUACCAUAUUAAUAUCUAUAAAUCUUGAAGUUGUAGAAUAGACACAGAUUCCCAAAUUCUUACUGAUUUCACGUUUACCUUCAAAUCAUAAAUUUCCACUUCACCAAUAGCAGGCCAACUGAGUGGUGGUUGAUAGCUCUCUAUGACGGCAGGGGCUUCGCUAGGAAUAUUCAUGAACUGUUCUAAUCUUUCAACAGAAACAAUCAUAUUUGCUAAAAGGCACUGGCUUUGGACAGAAAAUACGAGGAAUAUAUUCACUGAAAGACCAUAUGACAAUGCCAUUCCAAUAAAUCCUGCCAUCAGAACAUUGACAACGAAAAUGCUCGUUAGACAAUAAUUCCAUAAAUGGUUGUCUAUUACUAAGAUUUCUUUAAAUAUCAAAUUGACCAAGUUAUUUUUGAAUAUCAAAUACUGUGCAUGUAGGAAGUUAGUAGAAGGGUUUUUCUAUUAGAUUAUGCACUGAUCUGUUCCUAUGAUUAUUUUGUAAGAAUGGUGGGCUAUUUAGCUCACUUUGUUCUUGAUAUAACCCAAGUUUCUAGUUAUGAUGUUGAGAAAGUUGGAGCUAAAAUGGGUUGAUUAUAGUGAUUUUUUAUUACUACCAACAGGGCAGCUAUUGUUUCAUGAUCUACAAAGCCCUAUCUUGUAUUCGUUUCACUCUACUCAAGGUCAAGUAGGAAACUAAGAUAGGUAACUUUCUGAUUUAAUGUUGGAUAUUUUUAUUGGAUUAUAGGUCAUCACUGAAUUGCCUCUAAAUAUUUCAUCCUUUUGAAGUUCCUUUUUUCCAGUGAGAAAUAUGAAAAUUUAGUGGAGGCCCUUGGUUGUUCAUCUCCUUUUUCCGUUAAAAACAUAUGCUAGCUAGCAAGCAGUCAUAGCAGGCAACAGAAAAUAUUUUUUGUCUUGAGGUUUUGAUCCUUUUGGAGAAUUUAUUAUUUGUGCCCUUAAUCAGACACUUCAUAUUUAUCAUUUUCUGGUUGUAGAUCUUACCUACUGAAAAAUCCUAACAUUAUCCUUUUGUGAGGAUCAAAAUUCACAUGGUCAAUUACUAUUCUCAAAGUUGCACAAGCCCCCUUAGGCUAAACAUGUUAUAAACUUCUAGGAUGUUAAACUGUUGAAAUUGGAGCAAAGAGAGAGUUUUAAGCAACUGCAAUGACAAUUAAGGUUAUGGCAUGGACCUUCUAAUUUAGUGUCCAUUCUCAUUGGUAAUAUAGUUAGCCUCUUUGAGUACAUUCAAGCUAUCUUGGAUUUUGCCUAGUUUGUUCCAUCAAACUAAUGGAUAGUGGAGCAUGCAAAGUUAGGGAUAGGAAGGACCUGUAAUUUCGAUAGUGUCUUGACUUUGCAGUUUGGUACCCUCAUGGAACCCUCUGGGAAAGAAAAAUGAUAAAGAGUAUUUUUGGUGUUUUUCUUUUGGAAAUGGAAAGAAAAAUUGCAGAUCUCUAGAUGAUAUUGGGCAUUUUAGUUCAGGUAAGGCCAGUGAUCUGGGUGGCUUCUAUGGGAAAAAGCUUCAAGUUGCUGCAAGUUAAGAAUGCAAUAGGGUGAGGGGAAGGCUGAAUGUUACAUGGGUAGAAUUCAUAAAAUAGAUCAAAAUCUCACAUGUUGAAUGGUGACUUGUCUUACUAUCAGGUGAAAUGGCUGGAUAGGAUACUUGUAAUUAAACCAAGAUUGUGAUUCAAAUGGUACUUGUAGGGCAAUGAAUUUAUGAUUUGAUCUUAGAGAAUUGAUAGUUAGGAAUGCCCAAGCAAACUAACAAAUUCAAAUGUAAUUGAGCUGUAUAAACUAGUGAGAAACAAUUGUAUAUUUGAGAUGAAAAACACCUACCAGCUUUAGAAGCUCUUGUGUGAAUCAAAGUUAGGGCAAGGGCUGAAGAUGAGAGAACGAUUGCACAUAGUAUUUCAAGGCGUUGGAUCAACCACUCAUUUGCUGUGAAACUGUAGAAGAAUGGACUUGCAUUUAUGUCAAUGAAGCCCAAAUUCUUUGAAAAGUGUCUAUCUUCGUCCCCGAAAGCUCUAAUUGUCAUAGCUCCAGCAAUGGACUCAGAAAGAUGGCUUGCAACAAAAGACUUGGUUGUGCCAUUGAUUCGCAUCAACUCUUUUCCAGCAGCAAAGUAGUACCUCUGGUUGUUAAAAUGAAAACAGACAUGAUCAAUUGCUAAGAAGCGAAGAGAAGCACAAAAUAUCUUACAAGCAAGACCCUAAAUGCUAAAUGAGGAGGGAAGCAGCUGCCUCUGCUACAUCCAUGUAAACAUCAUACAGUAGUGUAUUACCUGGAUGAGUAUACUUAGAUAAAUUGUUGGUAAAAUGACAAACACAAGUUCCCAGGCAAGAAUAGCCAACACUCCAAAACUGGCAUAAGCAUUCAUAGCUGCCCCAACAGCAAAAGUAAAUUUGAAGGCCACAUCAAGGUCAACCACACUCAAAUCAGAAGAUACCUGCAAAAAGGCAAUAAAAAAAUAAGUCUUCUGUUCUUUGCAAUAGGCAUUUAUUUUAAGCAUCUUACCCGACUGAGUAUCCUUCCCAGAGGUGUUGAGUCAUAAAAGGACAUUGGUGCUCGAAAAAGAGAGCUCAGCAGUGUAGAGAAAAUAGAUUGUGAUGCCUCAAGGCCUAAAAGAACAACAAAAAAAGACCGGAGCAACAAAAAGAGUGAUAAGCUUAAUCCGAUCCCUGUGUAAACUGCAAUCAGUUUCAAUUGGCUAACACUAGAAUUCUGGACAUUUGCAGCCAACCAAUAGUUUUGCACCAACUGUCCAACAAUGAAUAUGACAUGAGAUAGAGUUGCCAAAAAGAAGUACAAGAAUCCCUUGCUGUAUUUCAAGUAUUGUAGGUAAGGCUUGAGACCAGUGUCUCCAAUUUCUCUUUCUUCUUUCUUAAUUAACUGCUCUCCUGAUGUGUCUCUCAAUUGUUUCUCGGUGUAAAUCUUCUGUAUCUCUCCCUUUGGAAUUUUAGAUUUCUGGGUAGAAUCUUGCUCAGGUUGCCUCUCAGAACCAACUGUGGCAUUGUGUGCAUUAACAAGGUCCUGGAACUCUUGACUAAAGCGCAUCAGUUGCUCAAAGGUAGCAGCUUGCAGGAUCUCCCCUUCGGACAUUAACUGCCAACAGAAUUAGUCAUUUGGACUGCUUGAUUUAAAAGCAUGUGUUACUCAAGGAUUGCCUUCCAGAUGGUGGAAAUUACUUGUUAAGAAAGGAAAAGAAGUCAAAUGAGAGUUAAAGAAGGACAUCCAAGAAAGUAACUGUACUAACCAGAACCGAAUCAAAUGCUGGAAGGAAGUCCACUUGGUGGGUCACAAGUAUGACCGUCUUCGUUGAUAGAGCUCCCAUGACAUAUUCCUGGCCACAACUGGCAUUAGCAUUCACUCUGAAAGCAAUAACAUUAGUAGCAUAAUUUCUAAAAAAGGAGAACCGUACAUACAUUAAAUAGACUGGUUGCAGUAUGUGCAUCGACCGCACUAAAUGGAUCAUCCAGGAGAUAUACAUCUGCAUCCUGAUAUAAUGCGCGUGCGAGUUGAACCCUCUGCUUCUGUCCACCACUCAGAUUAACACCUCUUUCUCCUAUUUCAGUGAGAUCACCAAAUGGAAGCAUCUCAAGGUCCUUCACUAGGGCACACUUCUCAAUAACCUCUCUGUAUCUGUAAGGAUCCAUAGCAGACCCAAACAGAAUAUUUUCUUGUAUGGUACCUGUUGGAAUCCAUGCUGUCUGAGAGACGUAAGCAAUCUUUCCAUAAACUCGAACCUGGAAAAGAUGGAUCCAGAAUCCGUAUUAAGACAUUUGUCUACGUAAGACUCCUAGAACCUUUCGGGGCUCAUGAAGUUUUCUACCUUCCCCUUUUCCCCCCAUGAUGUUAAUAUCUACCAAAUGAAGUGUGUAUAAAUCAGGAAUGAUGCAUUACUUCUUUCACUUUUUAAGUUUGUUUUCUUUUGUAUUCCUAGUUAGGAAACCCUGAAAGAACAUAAAAAUUCCCUGUGGGUUUGUUGUUAUUCCUCUCAGUACAACUGUGCAUAAAGUAGUUGUUGAGUAUUUAUUCUAGUCCAUGGAUGAGGAAGAAAUGGAAUUGAAAGGGGUACUUACUAUGCCAUUAACGUGUGGAACUUCUCCAAGAACAGCAGCUAAUAGUGUCGAUUUACCUGAGCCAACCUCUCCACAAAUUGCUACCUUUUCCCCAGGCUUAACCACCAAAGUUAUGUUCCUUAGCGUAGCCCUUGUAGUGUUAUCCUCCCAUGAAAUUCUGUUGCUCUUGAUAAAAAUGGAUUCCUCCAGCUCCUUCCCAUCACACAUCUUCCUUACAUGUUUGUUCUGCAGCUCUGGUGCAUCAAGAAACUUUGCAAUCCGAUCUAACGAAACCUUGGCCUCAAUGAAUGCUGAAAUGACAUCAGGGAUUAACCUUAUUGGCUCCUGGGCAAGGCGUAAACUUGCCAUAAAUGUGAAAACAUUGGUAGCAGAGAGAGUAGUUCCAAGAAAGUAGCAUGCCCAGAAAGUAACCGCCGAUACUACAAUGGGAGAGGACCAAAACAGAAUCAGAUUGUACCCUCUCUGUGACAGAACUGAUGAUAACCACUUGAAUUCCUCUUUCCUCAACCCUUCUAUGACAUUCUUGAAAUGAGUCUCCCAAGCAUACAGCUUCAGAAUUUUCAUGUUUGUAAGUGCCUCUGUGAAAGUCUUCAGCCUCUUGUCCUGAGUUCCCAUGAGCAUUUUCUGGUACUUGUGUUGUAACUUUCCCAUAGGAGAGUUUGUAACUACAGUCAAUAUUACUACAGACAGAGCUGCUAUAGUUGCAAGCCCCACCGAGUAGUAAAUAAUAAGCAAUGCCAGACACAACUGGAGGCUUGUUGACCAUAUCUGGUGAAACCAGUACGGGUAUUCACCUAUUUUGUAAGCAUCAAUGGUAACAAAGUUAAUGAUCUGACCAGGGGAAUACGACCCCUUUGCAGCAUUUGAGAGCUUAAGCUGCUUCUGAUAGAUGGCUGCAGAUAGAAAUGAUCUCACUUGGAGCCCAAUCAAUCUAGUUCGAAAGAACCAUUGCCUCUCUGAUAACGAUUCUAAGCAUUUAGUAAGGAAGAGCCCUCCUGUCAGUGCAUAACCUUCAUACUCAAAAGCUUCUUUGCCUUCAGCAACCAGGAUGAAGGCUCUAAGAAACAGAGGGCCAGUAGAAAGUGUCAGUACCUUGAUCAAUGCAUAAAAGCCAGAAAACAAAAUUUGUUUCCACUGCCACAACAAUAUAGUUGACAAAAUGGAAGGAGAGUGAGAUGACCGCUUGUUUUUCUGCUUGUUCUGCUGUUCCAUGAACAUUGAGUAACACAUUUCCGCUCGAUCUUCCCUUCUUAGCUGUGGAAUGUCUUUGUCCUCAAGUGUUUUCUCCUUACCCUUCUUGAUCAACGAAUUCAACCACCAAAAUGACAGUCUACUAAUAAGCCCGGCUUUCUGAAAAGGAGGUAAGCUGGCAUCUGAAUUGAUUUUAUCACCACCACUGCCUCCUUCACCAGGCAACGGUGUAUAGAAGCCAGCACCAUCAAUUUCUGAAUCAGUUCCUGCAUAUUUCGGUCCUGAAAAAGUGGAGAACAUCGAUAGAAUUGCUCCAGGAAAAGAUAUAACAUCUAAAAUCAUCUUGACUGAUACUGCAUCGCUCACAAUAGCUUCCCAGAAAGAUGUAACACAGAGAAAACCUGCAAUAAAGAAUGCAAGUACUGAACAGAGCUUCAGCCCUGCAAUAUGUAGAACUUGAUGCCUCCUAAACCUCACAGCUAAACCCAGAAAAAACCAGGCGAAGCCUUGUAAUAAAUUCACUAGCCAGCCAUGCAGAGGUAGAAUGGUGUUCUCUUCAAUCAGCUUCUCUCCCAAAAUCCAGAUCCCCAAACCCAGAUAAACAAACCCCAAACUACCAUUAAGAAAGGCUGCAGAAUUUAGCGUUGUGGAAAAGCAUAGAGACCGUUGAGGGGAUAAUAUCUUCAAAGCUGAUGCUUUAUAUAUGAAGAUAAAUAAUAAUAAGAACAAGAGGAUGAUGUCUACAGAAAUGACCAAAAUAUGAUUGAGACAUGAACAUGGACAGAUGAUGGCUAGGAACCCAGAACUGCUUAUCUUUCCAAUUUUACUUGAACACCCGGUACUUCCACAGAAAACAGUCCAGAGACUCUCACCCAUGUUGUAUCUUCUUGCCUGCACAAAACUGUGGCUGUAAUAAAAUAAAAAAAAUAAAAAAAAGAAACAAAAAGCAAAGGGUUAUUUAUUAGAUUUUUGGCGUUUUAGAGUUGGAAGUAGUACUAAACAUGAGAACCAUCAAUGCGUGCCUAAUAGUUUCAGUUCUCAGUGGAACUUAAAAGUUAAAUUUAUCAUACAGGACUGAUCUGAACUUAAUUCACAACCCCAGGUGCCUAAGAUCAGGAGAAAGAAUCCAAGAACAACUGAACUGAGAUUGAAGAGAACUGACCAUAGACAGAGAACAUGAGAAAUUGCAGAAAACAGAUAGGGAGAAUGGGAUCCAAUGGAAAUGAAUCAAACAUGAAAGCAGAAGAUGUGAACAAGAUUCAGGAAACGUAUGCAAAACCCCCCAUUUCUCUGUUUCGUUGUUGAGAAAGAUACUGGAAAAUAAAUGUAAACCUUGAAUCUCAUAACAAGUAAGGGAUGGAGUGGUAGCCUUAAGAUUGCAAAACUUCUUUUCUUAUACCAUGAGUCUCAGUAACCAAACACAACCCACUGAGAUUCCUUGACCAAGCACAGUCUAGGCCUAUUUUCUCAAGCUGAAAGGAUGAGCACAAAAAAACAGGAACAAGAAGAUGAGGCAGUUACCUUAGGAUACGUUGGACAAUGAUGUAAAACCAAACCACAUCUUUUUAUUUAAGCUUUCUGGAAAGGGGACAGGAAUAAUUAUAUAGUAGAAAAGCUUGCAGAAAUAAAUAGAAUCGAAUGGAAAGAAAUUGUUCCUUUUCUUUCGGUCCUAGCUUACACUUUUCCAGGUUCCCAUAAUAAUAGCUAAAGGACCCCUUGAUAGGAUCAAUUCAAGAAAAAGAUGGGAAAAAAAGAAAAGAAGAAAAACAGAGCCCAGAAGAGGAAAAUAGUAGAAAAUUAAUGCUCACAAUGCACUGAGUCAGCCCAACAGAAAAAGAAGUUUUAUAUGAAGGACCCAAGAAUUCAAAGCAAUUAAUGAGGAAACAAACAGAAUGAUGGAGCAACUUCAGAGAGUGAAAACCAUCUUGAACCAAUUAUAGAAUGCACAGAACAUGGGGGUGGUCAAAAU
Molecule: long non-coding RNA, 8998 nt
Filed under: Vitis vinifera (wine grape)
Lineage: Eukaryota; Viridiplantae; Streptophyta; Magnoliopsida; Vitales; Vitaceae
Description: long non-coding RNA (VVIN_LNC000330)
Source: RNAcentral